This 141-nucleotide non-coding RNA is filed under the name Chromera velia. The record is from RNAcentral. Lineage: Eukaryota; Chromeraceae.
ACACACUAACUGCCGACCGAUCUAUCUAUCUGUCCGAAUUUUCAUCUUGCAAGGGAACCUCGAUCUAUGAUUGUUUUUUGCGCCGGCUCUUUCGUUUUCCUUUUCUUUCUCUCUCUCUCAAUCUCUUCCUGUUCACCUUCU